RNAcentral lists this small nuclear RNA (244 nucleotides) under Pogona vitticeps (central bearded dragon). RNAcentral describes it as "7SK RNA (ENSPVIG00000004649.1)". It matches the Rfam family "7SK RNA". Rfam says of the family: 7SK was discovered as an abundant small nuclear RNA in the mid-70s but a possible function has only recently been suggested. Two independent studies have found that 7SK RNA binds the CDK9/cyclin T complex (known as elongation factor P-TEFb). The record is from RNAcentral. Lineage: Eukaryota; Metazoa; Chordata; Lepidosauria; Squamata; Agamidae.
AGAUAAAACUUAGAUAUGAGACAGAUUCACUCCACUGAUGACCAGAAUCAAUUCAGCUGAUCUGGCUGGUUAGAGGUGUCUUCUUCCUCCCUCACCACUCAGUAUGUGCCCCUCCAGAAGCUGUGUGCUUGGUUAUAUAUGACAACCAUCUGAGAUAGGAAUGUACUGUUCUUUGAUCAAGGGCAUAUGAUAGGUAAUGUAACAAUUUAUUUUUAUACAUGAUGUGUAAGAAAUAAUGGUCCAU